AGUGAACGCUGGCGGUAGGCCUAACACAUCCAAGUCGAACGGCAGCACAGUAAGAGCUUGCUCUUACGGGUGGCGAGUGGCGGACGGGUGAGGAAUACAUCGGAAUCUACUUUUUCGUGGGGGAUAACGUAGGGAAACUUACGCUAAUACCGCAUACGACCUACGGGCGAAAGCAGGGGAUCUUCGGACCUUGCGCGAUUGAAUGAGCCGAUGUCGGAUUAGCUAGUUGGCGGGGUAAAGGCCCACCAAGGCGACGAUCCGUAGCUGGUCUGAGAGGAUGAUCAGCCACACUGGAACUGAGACACGGUCCAGACUCCUACGGGAGGCAGCAGUGGGGAAUAUUGGACAAUGGGCGCAAGCCUGAUCCAGCCAUACCGCGUGGGUGAAGAAGGCCUUCGGGUUGUAAAGCCCUUUUGUUGGGAAAGAAAAGCAGCAGGUUAAUACCCCGCUGUUCUGACGGUACCCAAAGAAUAAGCACCGGCUAACUUCGUG
Molecule: ribosomal RNA, 492 nt
Filed under: uncultured bacterium
Lineage: Bacteria
Description: partial 16S ribosomal RNA
Rfam family: Bacterial small subunit ribosomal RNA
Source: RNAcentral